RNAcentral lists this ribosomal RNA (485 nucleotides) under Camptocerus niger. RNAcentral's name for it is "partial 28S ribosomal RNA". The record is from RNAcentral. Lineage: Eukaryota; Metazoa; Arthropoda; Insecta; Coleoptera; Curculionidae.
GAGUACGUGAAACCGUUUAGGGGUAAACCUGAGAAACCCGAAAGGUCGAAGGGAGAAAUUCAUUCGCGUUUCGCAACCGGCGGUUGGCUGUCGUGCGACGGAAACGUACAUUUUGUUCGUUUUCGCACCUUCAGUUAGUCGAACCGGAGGCGAACGCGUGCACUUUUCUCCUGGUAGGACGUCGCGAUCCGUCGGGUGUCGGUCUACGGCUCACGGUGGAGCCCGCUUGUCGUUUUUCGCAACGUACGAGCGGACCCGUGUGAUUCCCGGCCGACUCGCUCGACGGUAUACGAAAGGUUCGGAGCCGCUCUAGAAGCGUUCGGCUCGUGGCAAGCGCGUUAGAUGUAGUUGGCAACGGACCUAGUGCCGAUUCUAACCGUCUUCGACUGUUGGCCGCGAAGUUCUCGAACAGACUCCGUUUCUCGUCCCUCGGGACGAGAGACUGAAAACCGAUCUGCGACGCUAUAGCUUUGGGUACUUUCAGG